This 72-nucleotide transfer RNA is filed under the name Aeribacillus pallidus. Its description in RNAcentral is "tRNA-Ala". It matches the Rfam family "tRNA". Rfam says of the family: Transfer RNA (tRNA) molecules are approximately 80 nucleotides in length. Their secondary structure includes four short double-helical elements and three loops (D, anti-codon, and T loops). Further hydrogen bonds mediate the characteristic L-shaped molecular structure. tRNAs have two regions of fundamental functional importance: the anti-codon, which is responsible for specific mRNA codon recognition, and the 3' end, to which the tRNAs corresponding amino acid is attached (by aminoacyl-tRNA synthetases). tRNAs cope with the degeneracy of the genetic code in two manners: having more than one tRNA (with a specific anti-codon) for a particular amino acid; and 'wobble' base-pairing, i.e. permitting non-standard base-pairing at the 3rd anti-codon position. The record is from RNAcentral. Lineage: Bacteria; Bacillati; Bacillota; Bacilli; Caryophanales; Bacillaceae. RNAcentral also lists the same sequence under 2 other names.
GGGGAUGUAGCUCAGUGGGAGAGCACUUGCAUGGCAUGCAAGGGGUCGUGGGUUCGACUCCCAUCAUCUCCA